ACAGCAGUCGCCGCGGUAAUACGUAGGGGGCAAGCGUUAUCCGGAAUUACUGGGUGUAAAGGGAGCGUAGACGGUUAAACAAGUCUGAAGUGAAAUGCCGGGGCUCAACCCCGGAGCUGCUUUGGGAACUGUAGAACUGGAGUGUCGGAGGGGUAAGCGGAAUUCCCAGUGUAGCGGUGAAAUGCGUAGAUAUUGGGAGGAACACCGGCGGCGAAGGCGGCUUACUGGACGACAACUGACGUUGAGGUUCGAAGGCGUGGGUAGCAAACAGGAUUAGAUACCCCUGUAGUCCCUGUCUCUUAUAC
Molecule: ribosomal RNA, 305 nt
Filed under: uncultured bacterium
Lineage: Bacteria
Description: partial 16S ribosomal RNA
Rfam family: Bacterial small subunit ribosomal RNA
Source: RNAcentral